RNAcentral lists this long non-coding RNA (523 nucleotides) under Mytilus galloprovincialis (Mediterranean mussel). The record is from RNAcentral. Lineage: Eukaryota; Metazoa; Mollusca; Bivalvia; Mytilida; Mytilidae.
GUGUAUUUCUCUGUCCUGAAUGGUCUUGCAUUUAUUUGUAAUGUAGUCCUGUCAUGUAAUGUUGUCAUUUUAAUGUUAUAUUUAACCUUGCCAUAAAGCGCGAGUUAAAGCUAGCCAGUAAAAUAGGUUCAACGCACCAUUUCUUCUUAAAAUACCCUGUACCAAGUGAGGAAAAUGGCAGUUGUUAUCUUUUAGUUCGUUUCGAUGUUUUGCAUUGUCGUUUUAUUAUUUUUUGUUACACUUAAGUGUAUUUUCUGUUGUUUCGUUGUUUUCCUGUUGUAGUUGAUGUGCUUCCUUCGGAUUUAGUUUGUAACCCGGAUUUGUUUUCUCUCAAUCGACGUAUGACCUUAUUACAGCGGUAUACUACUGUUGCUCUUAUUGAACUAAUCUAUCUAUUCAUCUUGAAAUUGGCAACGCGAGUAUUUAACAAAGCCUUAUAAAAGCCUUUGCUCAUUGUUGAAGGCUGUACGGUGACCUAUAUAGUUGUUAAUGUCUGUGUCAUUUUGGUCUUUUGUGGAUAGUU